UACGGAGGGGGCUAGCGUUGUUCGGAAUUACUGGGCGUAAAGCGCACGUAGGCGGCUUUGUAAGUUAGAUGUGAAAGCCCAGGGCUCAACCCUGGAAUUGCCUUUAAGACUGCAUCGCUUGAACAUCGGAGAGGUAAGUGGAAUUCCGAGUGUAGAGGUGAAAUUCGUAGAUAUUCGGAAGAACACCAGUGGCGAAGGCGGCUUACUGGACGAUUGUUGACGCUGAGGUGCGAAAGCGUGGGGAGCAAACAGG
Molecule: ribosomal RNA, 253 nt
Filed under: uncultured bacterium
Lineage: Bacteria
Description: partial 16S ribosomal RNA
Rfam family: Bacterial small subunit ribosomal RNA
Source: RNAcentral